Molecule: long non-coding RNA, 626 nt
Organism: Phyllopteryx taeniolatus (common seadragon)
Lineage: Eukaryota; Metazoa; Chordata; Actinopteri; Syngnathiformes; Syngnathidae
Exons: 4
Source: RefSeq, a predicted model, not a curated record
AAAAGCGUUGCCUAAAACGUCAGUCACUUUCCUUCUUUACUAAUAAUCCGUUACCUAAACGACAAGCAGACUUUUUCUUUAUGUACCAUGUCUCUGAUGUUUUUUAAGGUUCUCCUCCGACAUGAUGCUUCAAUUGCUUUCAAUUUGCUUUCUCUAUUGCUCUGUCGACCUGCGCGCUGUCCAUAUAUGGGCCUGCCCGUUUGUAGAGAAAAUGCGUCAUUUCCGUUACAUCAUUUUAGAACGCCACCAAGUGAUCCAGCUCAGAGAGGGGUCUAGUUGUUGAUGAGGACUCUGCAUUGACUGCCUGGGAAAGGUCCUGAGGAGAACCCCUUUCCCUGACAGCCUGGUCAUUCUGGAAGUGGGAUCUCUUCAUCUGUGAUCCCUUCUCAAGGUUACUCCCCCCCCCCCCCCCCCAAAUGGGUUUCCUCAGAGUUUUUUCCUGCCCAGAUGGGGGGUCUCGAACAGCGCUCCUUAUGAGGGUUGCUGGCGACUUGGAACCUAUCCCAGGCUGACCUCGGCAAGAGGUGGAGUACAAUCUGAAUUGGUCACCAGCCAAUCACAGUUGUACAAUAUUAGUAUUUCUAUGGGGAAAAUGUUCAUGCUCCACUUGGCACUCAAUUGAACUU